AAUAAAGGAUGUUCGACUAAAAACACCACAUCCUGUGGCAACGUCGAACUACCCGCAGCGCUGA
RNAcentral lists this small RNA (64 nucleotides) under Virgibacillus salinus. RNAcentral's name for it is "Bacillaceae-1 RNA". It matches the Rfam family "Bacillaceae-1 RNA". Lineage: Bacteria; Bacillati; Bacillota; Bacilli; Caryophanales; Bacillaceae. The record is from Rfam by way of RNAcentral.